AAGAGGUGUAUUAACAAUUAGAGCUGCUAACUCCU
RNAcentral lists this transfer RNA (35 nucleotides) under Algyroides nigropunctatus. RNAcentral describes it as "partial tRNA-Ser". Lineage: Eukaryota; Metazoa; Chordata; Lepidosauria; Squamata; Lacertidae. The record is from RNAcentral.